RNAcentral lists this ribosomal RNA (253 nucleotides) under uncultured bacterium. RNAcentral describes it as "partial 16S ribosomal RNA". It matches the Rfam family "Bacterial small subunit ribosomal RNA", at positions 524 to 776 of the family's 1533-position model. The record is from RNAcentral.
UACGGAGGGGGCUAGCGUUGUUCGGAAUUACUGGGCGUAAAGGGCUCGUAGGCGGCCAACUAAGUCAUACGUGAAAUCCCUCAGCUUAACUGGGGAACUGCGUGUGAUACUGGAUGGCUUGGAUUUGGGAGAGGGAUGCGGAAUUCCAGGUGUAGCGGUGAAAUGCGUAGAUAUCUGGAGGAAUACCGGAGGCGAAGGCGGCUCACUGGGGGUUUUCUGACGCUGAGGAACGAAAGCCAGGGGAGCGAACGGG